GGACACCAUGCAAAAAUCGUCUGCCUGGCCUGGUCCCCAGACAAUGAACACUUUGCCUCCGGUGGCAUGGACAUGAUGGUGUAUGUUUGGACCCUGAGUGACCCGGAAACCAGAGUCAAGAUCCAAGAUGCACACCGGCUGCACCAUGUCAGCAGCCUGGCCUGGCUGGACGAGCACACGCUGGUCACGACCUCCCAUGAUGCCUCUGUCAAGGAGUGGACAAUCACCUACUGAGGAGCCCCACCCCCGCCUCUGGAUGGACCGAAUCAGGGACUAGAGUUUAACUGCAGCGGAACAUGUCAUUUCUCUAUUUCUGUGACGCGCCCCCAUGCCCCCACCCCACCACAAGAGGCAGGAGGGCCCAGUCAUGACCCUCGUCUCUGCAGGGUGUCUGUACACGUUCUUCUGAAAGCUUUAGACAGUAACAGUUUGCACAUGAAAAAUAAAGCGAGCACCUAAACAAUGUGUGGAGCAUAACUAAAACCCACAGCCCAACCAAACCUUGAGAAUGCGAAACAUUCCAGAGGCAGUAGCCUCCAAAGCACACAGAGCCCCUGGCCCCGCCGCGGCUCUCACUAUCUGUCAGGGGAGGUUGUACAGGUGAAUGAGCCGGGGGGCUCAUGUUCCUGCCUGCAGAACAUUUCUGUACUAGUGAGAAGAGGGAAUAUGCAUUGCAGUUCAGCAAAGCCGGAAUUCUGUGUUGAACAGAUGUCUGUCUCCCUAGUGUGUGACUCACACCUUGUGGCUGCCUUCAGAGCGCCACCUCCAGAUCAGAUGGGGACACACAACCCCUGGAUAUGUUUCAUUGUCAGAUUUUGUGCUUGAUUUUAAGAAUGGAAUUGUGGGUAUCUUUCCUUUUUUUUUAAUGUAUCUUAACUGUUGCCUGUCAGUGUUUACAAACUAGUGCGUUGACGGCACCGUGUCCAAGUUUUUAGAACCCUUGUUAGCCAGACCGAGGUGUCCUGGUCACCGUUUCACCAUCAUGCUUUGAUGUUCCCCUGUCUUUCCCUCUUCUGCUCUCAAGAGCAAAGGUUAAUUUAAGGACAAAGAUGAAGUCACUGUAAACUAAUCUGUCAUUGUUUUUACCUUCCUUUUCUUUUUCAGUGCAGAAAUUAAAAGCUGAGGCUGAGUUGCAUCUACAUUUUGGUUUGAGAAGAGGCAGAAAGUGUGGCAGAGGCACACGUGCAGUCUUCAGGGCCACACCCCCGCCAUGUCCACUCCCAUUUUAGGAGGAACUGUUAGUCAGAUGCAGAAGACGUAGGAAGACAAGCCACAGUUGUAUGGUUGCUGCCUGUGAAGCAGUGAGCCACCUGUCCCUGUGUGCAGCAAAUGGAUGGCAGCUCAAAGGGUUAAACUGAAGAUAAUUGAAUGAAGGGACCCUUUGGAGAGGCGCAGACGGAAUCUCUCUGUCAGCCAGGCUGGAGUGUGGUGGCACAAUCUCGGCUCACUGCAACCUCCGCCUCCCAGGUUCAAGCAAUUCUCCUGCCUCAGCUUCCUGAGUAGCUGGAACUACAGGUGGUGCCACCAUACCUAGCUAAUUUUUCCUCUUUUUAGUAGAGAUACAGGGCUGCGUGGGGAUUACAUGAAAUACUCCAAGUAAAGCCCUAAAUGAAUACUUGACCCACAGCAAAUAUAAUUAAUAUUAGGAAUUAUCAUUGUUUUAGUAGAUGUGAAAGAAAGGCUGUUAUCAAACUAUAAGUAAUGUAUACAUGCUAGUUACCACUGUGAACACAGGACAUGAAAUAAGUAUCCAAUUAGUGAUAAUAUACAAUGAAUUGUGACUGUGCUCCCAGAGAAGCCAGGUGAAGGCCAGGGGAAAUUCAGAGGACCAUCUCUGGCUGGGACAUCAGGGCAGGCUUCCUGGAGCAGGAGGUCCCUCAAGACUGGAGAGGACACUUUCAGGAAGUCAACCAAGACUGAGGAUGUGACUGACAUUCCUGGAAAAUAUCAAGGUGGAAUUUAGUAUCUUCCAGUGUUCUUACAUGGAAUCAUUUGUUCAUUUCUCCUGUGGAGAUUAAAAAACUACAAACCUCACAUUCUUUACCAUAAAAAUCUCCCAUUUUUAAAAUUCUUAUAUUUAGUCCUAGAUUUCUGUGAGUCUUCCUCAUUUGCCCCUGGCUAUCAUCAUCCUACAUAAAAUCAGGGAUGGUUGGCAUCCUAACUGGCAGCUACUAGGAAAAGGAAACUGAGAGAAGAUAGGAUUCUAAAGCUGCCACUGCCUGGAAAAUCUUGUUAGAUAAUGAUACAAGUUAGGAGCAUUGAUAACAACACGUUUUUCACUUACUGAGGUCUAAGUUUUGGGUCAUCCAAUUGUCAUCCUACUCUUUACCUUGUCACCACAAAAAUGUUCUUGCUGGGUGAGUCGGAAUGUAUUAAUUACCUAUCAAACAAUUGAAUAUUAUAUCAAUAAAUUAUGUAAAUAUUAAUAUUUUAAUAAAUAGCAAUACAAAUUAA
RNAcentral lists this long non-coding RNA (2454 nucleotides) under Homo sapiens (human). RNAcentral's name for it is "HSALNT0318207". Lineage: Eukaryota; Metazoa; Chordata; Mammalia; Primates; Hominidae. The record is from RNAcentral.